UCCUCGCGCGCCCCGCCCCGCUGCGCCCCGCCCACCCGGCCCGGCUUCUGCCGACAGCUGGGCGGGGACGCGCACGCAGUCCCGGCGGGGACGCGCACGCCGCCCUCUGACCCCGCAGCGUCGUGGCUAGAGUAGGGUCUGGAGAGAGCUCCCACUGUGGCGAGUCCUGUCGUUGGAUUCCCGCGGCGCCCCGUAAGGCUCCGCCCCGGCGGUGCUACCAAACCCUGUUCGAUUUUAGAAUCGUACAUUCCCAGAGGGAAUCCUAGACCCCUCAUUUUACAGUUGAGGAAACAGGCCCAAGUAGCAUGACUUGUUCGCGCCGCUAGUCGAAGGAGCAGCAGCCCCGAUCCCUUGACUCUGGGGCACUGCUUUCCCUUUAGCUCAUUUUUGGAGGAAAUGGGUGCGCCCUUGCUCGACCUUUGGUGAUUGCCGCCACAGGCCUUCCCGCCGGCUAACUCAGCGUGCCCAAGUCCCGUGACUUAGUGCCAGGACGGUGCUGUGACCCGUUAUCCCCUGUCGGGUUUUACCUCCCCCCGGGAGAGCUCAGCCCUGGAUCCCGGCGGGCGGCGGAGCCUCUCUGGAGCCCGGACGGGACAGCCCACCAGGGUCUGCUUCUGUGAGGGGCCGAGGCGUCAUUCCGCGAAGGUAAUUAGCUGGGGAGGGGACUUGAAGCCGCU
This 677-nucleotide long non-coding RNA is filed under the name Homo sapiens (human). RNAcentral's name for it is "non-protein coding lnc-GRM1-1:3". Lineage: Eukaryota; Metazoa; Chordata; Mammalia; Primates; Hominidae. The record is from RNAcentral.